This is a long non-coding RNA of Equus caballus (horse), 1564 nucleotides long. The record is from Ensembl. Lineage: Eukaryota; Metazoa; Chordata; Mammalia; Perissodactyla; Equidae.
UUGCCUUUCCAAACACACAGUUAUAAUUCUAGUCUGCCUGAGGCAUCCAUCGCUCUGAAGGGAAAUCAGGGUCUGCUGCAGAAGGGAUACAAAGAAUAAGACCCAGGUGAUGUUCAGCUUUUGACAUUGAAAAUUCAGCUUUUGCCUAGCCCUGAGUCCUGAAGAGUUUCUCCUAUAUAGUUUUCUAAUAAUUUUUGUCUAAAGUUUUUGUCUAAAAAAUCAGCUGACAAUCCCUAACAAUCAGUUGUUUGCCAGGUGAUUAGCUGCCUCUCUACCUUCCUCGUGGUCCGAUAAACUGCAGGAACGUAUGGAAUCAUUCACACUUAGCUUGUGCUGGGCCAGGCCGCGCAUGUCACCUUGAGUUUCGCUGGCCGCUGACAAGACCUCAAGCUGCCAAGAGCUGCCGCACUAUCCUUCCCCGGCUCCCAUUUUAAUGGAAGGGGUCGCUGGCAGGGCCAGGAGAUUAAGAGCAUGCCCCUUAUUCAGCUUUAUCUCAGCAAGUAUUCAUAGUUUUAGAGUUGCAAGGGACCUUCUCAAAGGGAACAGGCUAAAACCAAGGAAUGUUCAGUGAUUUUUUUCCAAUUUACAGAAUCUUCAGCUUCUGACUCCCAGGCUGAGCUCUUUUCAUUGUCCCCACAAAGCACCAGCCAGUGGACUACUGGUCACUCCUCCUGGCCUGCCGCAGCCUCUGUCCCAUAACAGGGAGCAAACAGCUGUGGCGGCUCAGAGAAUCCGCCAGGUCGUAGCAAUUUAAUCCAGUGCUCUCAUGGGGAUCUGCUGUGAGCAUCUCAUGCAGGGGCUCCGAGCUGCCAGCUUUCCCUCCGAGCUGCCUUCAGCGUCCUGUCCUCGCCCUCACAGCCUGGGAGUUCUGGAGGCUGGAAGUUUGAGAUCAGGGUGCCAGCAUGGACAAAUUCUGGUGGGAACUCCUUUCUGAGCUGAAGACUGAUAACUUAUUGAAAAGAACAUUGUUGGAAGACUGACAUUGCCAAAUUUCAAGACUUAUUUCAGUGGAGUGAUAUUGGCAAGAUGGUGGUGGAAUGGGAAGCCCAAGACCAUCCUUCCCCACAUGAACACACACAAUACAUGGGCAAGCUCCCUUUGUGAGAAAACCAUAAAGUAAUUGAUGGCUCCUGCACAACUGGUUAGUGUGCUACUACCCAUAACAAAGGCAGUAGGGAAAUUUGAGACACUCUCUUGUCAUAAUUCCUAUCCCCAGCACAAUGACAAAUGAUUAAGAGGAAAUUCCCAAGAUCCAAGGUUCUCCCUAGGACAGGAAAUAGGUAGACUGUGCAUCCAAUGCCCCAACUUUUCUGGGGACUACCCACAGUGCUGUUUUCUGUCUAGCCUCCCUUGGAAUGAUGAUGGGACCCAGCAUAAUAUAGCCACCUGGGACCACUGAAACAGUGAUGGUGUUUUGGCCUGGAAGUCACCAGAGGCCCAUAGACCCUCACAUCAGCACAUCAAAGAGGGAACAGAUGAAAAACCAUAGUUCCAAGUUUUUCCCUGGGGAGAGAAAGAGGUAAACCAUACAUCCAAUGCUCCAACUUUUUCAGGGACUACCCAA